CACCAGGCGCGAAAACUUUACAAUGCUGGCAACAGCGAUAAGGGGACCUCGAGUGCCAGGAUACAAUCUUGGCUGUCGCGAUGCCUAAAAAGCAUUGCAUAGCAAGGGCCGGGCAAGACCGGUGCCAGCCGCCGCGGUAACACCGGCGGCUCGAGUGGUAACCGCUAUUAUUGGGUCUAAAGGGUCUGUAGCCGGCCGGAUAAGUCUUUUGGGAAAUCCAGCUGCUCAACAGUUGGGCUUUCAGAAGAUACUGUUCGGCUCGAGACCGGGAGAGGUGAGAGGUACUUCAGGGGUAGGGGUGAAAUCUUGUAAUCCUUGAAGGACCACCAGUGGCGAAGGCGUCUCACCAGAACGGAUCUGACGGCAAGGGACGAAAGCUAGGGGCACGAACCGGAUUAGAUACCCGGGUAGUCCUAGCCGUAAACGAUACUCGCUAGGUGUCAGCCACGGUGCGACCGUGGUUGGUGCUGUAGGGAAGCCGUGAAGCGAGCCACCUGCGAAGUACGGCCGCAAGGAUGAACAGAAAGGAACGGCGGGG
This 538-nucleotide ribosomal RNA is filed under the name uncultured archaeon. Its description in RNAcentral is "bacterial SSU rRNA". It matches the Rfam family "Archaeal small subunit ribosomal RNA", at positions 333 to 873 of the family's 1478-position model. The record is from RNAcentral.